Molecule: ribosomal RNA, 1439 nt
Filed under: uncultured organism
Description: 16S ribosomal RNA
Rfam family: Bacterial small subunit ribosomal RNA
Source: RNAcentral
AACGCUAGCUACAGGCUUAACACAUGCAAGUCGAGGGGCAUCAGGAAGAAAGCUUGCUUUCUUUGCUGGCGACCGGCGCACGGGUGAGUAACACGUAUCCAACCUGCCCUUUACUCGGGGAUAGCCUUUCGAAAGAAAGAUUAAUACCCGAUAGCAUAAUGAUUCCGCAUGGUUUCAUUAUUAAAGGAUUCCGGUAAAGGAUGGGGAUGCGUUCCAUUAGGUUGUUGGUGAGGUAACGGCCCACCAAGCCUUCGAUGGAUAGGGGUUCUGAGAGGAAGGUCCCCCACAUUGGAACUGAGACACGGUCCAAACUCCUACGGGAGGCAGCAGUGAGGAAUAUUGGUCAAUGGGCGCUAGCCUGAACCAGCCAAGUAGCGUGAAGGAUGAAGGCUCUAUGGGUCGUAAACUUCUUUUAUAUAAGAAUAAAGUGCACCAUGUAUACUGUUUUGUAUGUAUUAUAUGAAUAAGGAUCGGCUAACUCCGUGCCAGCAGCCGCGGUAAUACGGAGGAUCCGAGCGUUAUCCGGAUUUAUUGGGUUUAAAGGGAGCGUAGGUGGACUGGUAAGUCAGUUGUGAAAGUUUGCGGCUCAACCGUAAAAUUGCAGUUGAUACUGUCAAUCUUGAGUACAGUAGAGGUGGGCGGAAUUCGUGGUGUAGCGGUGAAAUGCUUAGAUAUCACGAAGAACUCCGAUUGCGAAGGCAGCUCACUGGACUGCAACUGACACUGAUGCUCGAAAGUGUGGGUAUCAAACAGGAUUAGAUACCCUGGUAGUCCACACAGUAAACGAUGAAUACUCGCUGUUUGCGAUAUACAGUAAGCGGCCAAGCGAAAGCAUUAAGUAUUCCACCUGGGGAGUACGCCGGCAACGGUGAAACUCAAAGGAAUUGACGGGGGCCCGCACAAGCGGAGGAACAUGUGGUUUAAUUCGAUGAUACGCGAGGAACCUUACCCGGGCUUAAAUUGCAGUGGAAUGAUGUGGAAACAUGUCAGUGAGCAAUCACCGCUGUGAAGGUGCUGCAUGGUUGUCGUCAGCUCGUGCCGUGAGGUGUCGGCUUAAGUGCCAUAACGAGCGCAACCCUUAUCUUUAGUUACUAACAGGUUAUGCUGAGGACUCUAGAGAGACUGCCGUCGUAAGAUGUGAGGAAGGUGGGGAUGACGUCAAAUCAGCACGGCCCUUACGUCCGGGGCUACACACGUGUUACAAUGGGGGGUACAGAAGGCAGCUAGCGGGUGACCGUAUGCUAAUCCCAAAAUCCUCUCUCAGUUCGGAUCGAAGUCUGCAACCCGACUUCGUGAAGCUGGAUUCGCUAGUAAUCGCGCAUCAGCCACGGCGCGGUGAAUACGUUCCCGGGCCUUGUACACACCGCCCGUCAAGCCAUGGGAGCCGGGGGUACCUGAAGUACGUAACCGCAAGGAUCGUCCUAGGGUAAAACUGGUGA